CCGUGUAAGUCUCUACCUGGCCAGGAUUGAGAAACUCUCUGUAAAGCAAAAGAACUCUGGCCGUGUACUUGGACUCGUGUAACCAGCAAUGCCCCAUGUAAUCUUCUGUGCCAAUACGAGAUGCAGUCUUCAAAGCUCCAGUAAGUUACACAGUCCUGGGCCGUGCAGUGACACACGAGCUGUGUAUUAGCCGACAGCCAGUUUCUUGAUUUGGCUCUAGCUCCAGUUUUUGAUAGAGAUAAGAGACUUCUACUGCUUCUGGGACUCUGAAAACCUAACCCUAUGCACUGAAUAUAAAUAGAAGCAG
This 307-nucleotide unclassified non-coding RNA is filed under the name Hevea brasiliensis (rubber tree). The record is from RNAcentral. Lineage: Eukaryota; Viridiplantae; Streptophyta; Magnoliopsida; Malpighiales; Euphorbiaceae.